UCUGAUUGGUUGCUAUGGGCAACUGGGCAACUUUUCCUUUGAACAGCUCAGGCAUUUUCUAUAUGAUGGACCUUGGACGUACAUACUAAUGACUUCAGGAAUAUUCCGCUUAUCAUGCCUGUACAUUGGAUGGACUUAGAGUGGCAUCCGGGUUCAUCCUCUCAUGGAAUCCACCUUGAGAUGUAAUCGGGAUGACAGGUGUCCCUGCUCCGAGGGAAGGACCUGCUCAGCUGUGAUCUGGAGACAAACAUGGGAAGACGCAGGAACACCACCAGGGGGGAAGGGACAGGACCCGGAGACCAGGAGAGGAGACGGCCGCUGCCAGCAAUCACACAGCAGGUUGGGAGCCAAGUGCGUCAGACACCUCCAUGAUGUCCUAUAUCCCACAGCAAUGUCCUACCAGAAGAACCCCGACCUCCGCCAGGAGAUGGAAAUUAUGGCGGAAAGGCGGAUAAAAUGUGACAC
This is a long non-coding RNA of Hyla sarda, 465 nucleotides long. RefSeq lists it as uncharacterized. The record is from RefSeq and is a predicted model, not a curated record. Lineage: Eukaryota; Metazoa; Chordata; Amphibia; Anura; Hylidae. The transcript is spliced from 3 exons.